GCGACGACGACACAGUGCUGGUGAUUAUUCGCGACAUCUCCUCUCGCACAGCUAGGGCACACGACCUCCCACCGCCGGCCGUCUCUUCUUCCUCACCACCGGCCGACAGCUCUUCACUGCCGCACAGACCCCUCUCAGGAAUCGGGAAGUGCGGUGGUGGAUUUCGCCGGCGAUGACGACGCCCAACAACCUUCUCAACUGCGAGCCCACACCCUCCGCCCGACCCUCGGAGGCAGAGCCAUUACCUCGGCACGCCCAUCGCCACCCCUUCCUCCUCCUCUUCCUCCGCUGCCUAACUCCUUCAAGGGUUGCUGCUGCUGCCUCUUCCUACUCCUCACCUUCCUCCAAAUUGUUAACUCAUAUGAACACAUUGCAUCUUUGUUAACAUUUCAACGACUGAGGCUUCCUCCAAGUGUUUAACGUUGGGAACUUCAGAGUGGAACCACCAGGGUUAUUUCGUGGCCGAGGAGAGCAUCCAAAGAUGGGAAAACUAAAAAACAGAAUUAAGCCAAGAGAUAUUACAAUCAAUAUAGGAAAAGAUGCACCAAUUCCGGAAUGCUCAAUACCUGGUGAAAGAUGGAAAGAAGUAAAACAUGAUAAUAAUGUCACAUGGUUGGCAUUCUGGAAUGAUCCCAUAAAUCCAAAAGAGUUCAAGUAUGUCUUUCUGGCAGCGAGUAGUUCAUUAAAAGGGCAAAGUGACAAAGAGAAAUAUGAGAAAGCCAGGAUUAUAUACAAAAUAUUUGAAGAAACUAUACAAGAGAUUUUAAUAGUAAAGAUCCAACAAAGCGGCAAAUAGCAGUGGCAACUUACCUUUAUUGAUAAGCUGGCUCUCAGGGCAGGCAAUGAAAAGAAAUUGAUGAGGUGCGAUCGGAGUUGGCAGAAUGUAUGCAAGAUCAUGUUUAUGAGUAGGUGUGCUCAAGUUUAUGUUUACCACCCUAACAUCAUUUCAAACAGAAGCAUCUGCAUUGACCAUCUCCAAGGUUCUCUCGAUUUGCUCUCUUCUGACCGACUCAAAUCCGGACGACCCUCUUGUUCCUGAGAUCAUCCACAGUUAAAGCUAGAUUUCGUAUCUAAGUAAUUAAACAUAAGCUUCUAAAGAAUAUAAGAAAAAUAAACCAAGUUCAUAAAAUAGUGUAUUAUUCGAUAAGAUUAUUUUGUAUUUCUCAAUCCAAAUUUAUUAUUGUAUGGUGUGAACUGUGACCUUUGUUUCAGCUUUUACCACCUAAAAUUUCUUUUGCAUAAUAUUAAUGGCAUUGUUUUAUGUGACAGAUACACUGUGGUAGGUGUUUUGUCCCAGUCUCAAGCCGACAAUCCUUUUUGAUCAGUAUAUCUAGUAAAAGUAAGCAUGCAGAUUGUUGUCUUCGAGGUCGGCUAGCUAUUUUAUACUUUUUUUUGUUUAAAUUCGAAUGUCACUAUCUACUUUGAAACAGAACUAUUUAGUCUUUGUGUAUAGUUGAAUUCUCCUGUAAAUACUAAUACUUUGUAAUUGAAUUCUAUUGUUUUGG
This is an RNA transcript of Zingiber officinale, 1505 nucleotides long. It is a transcript of the gene named DNA topoisomerase 1 beta-like, with no coding region annotated. The transcript has 7 exons. The record is from RefSeq and is a predicted model, not a curated record. NCBI's taxonomy places the organism in Eukaryota, Viridiplantae, Streptophyta, Magnoliopsida, Zingiberales, Zingiberaceae.